AUGGCAAGAUUUAAUGCAUAUUAUCAGUUAGAGCUGCUUUCAGUGGUGGGACUUAAUUGAAAUUAAUAAUAAGGGCAAUUGCUUAUAUUGUUUUUGAAAGUUUUCGACUUUCUCAUUUACCUCUUUUAGAAAGUUAAUAUUUAAAAUACCUUAUUUACGUUUCAACCUAUUUCAAAUAUACCACUAGAGUUAAAUUCUGUCAAUGAACUGUUAGUAAUAGUUGUUAUCUUUAUAAAAUUACUAUUUUGUCUUUUCAAAUAUACUUUUCUAUCAUCACUGACUUUUUUUAUUUGCCCUUACGUUAGAGGCACAAAAUGUACUUUGAUUUUUCGUCUUGUCAAAUAUACUCUUCUAUUAUUACCCAUAUUUCUUAUUUGUCCUUAAGUUAAGAACAAAAGAGGCAUUUUGAUUUUUUUAACUCCUGUAAAUAUUUAACUCAUAUUUAACCUAAGUUAACUUAACGGAUGGUAACUAUAGAGCUAUUUUGAAAUAACGGAGAAACAUAUAAGAAGUAUAUUGAAAAAAAAAGAAGUAGAGUUAAAUAAGAUAUUUUCGAAGUUUCGAGAGAUAUACAGGCAAUUCUCCCUUAAAGAUUGCAUGCUCUUAAUUAAUAGUUAUAUAUGACUUAUUGUAUCA
RNAcentral lists this long non-coding RNA (636 nucleotides) under Ananas comosus (pineapple). Its description in RNAcentral is "long non-coding RNA (ACOM_LNC010716)". The record is from RNAcentral. Lineage: Eukaryota; Viridiplantae; Streptophyta; Magnoliopsida; Poales; Bromeliaceae.